This 993-nucleotide long non-coding RNA is filed under the name Homo sapiens (human). Its description in RNAcentral is "HSALNT0003613". The record is from RNAcentral. Lineage: Eukaryota; Metazoa; Chordata; Mammalia; Primates; Hominidae.
UGCGCGCGCGUGGUCUGCCAGCUUCUCUGGCCCUGCAAGGCGACCCCUAAGCGCAAUGUCCGGGACCCGCGGUCAGAGGGCCGGAGUGAGGGUGGCAGCGCUCAGGGAAGGAGGCGGAGGCAGAGGCCUCUUUCUUCCCCCGAGGUGGAGAGGGCCCCGGGUCGGAGGAGCGAGGGCCGCACCGCUGGAGCCCACUCCCGCCUCCUUCCCCACGGGCCGGCGCACUUGGGAGCUGGACAGGACGCUCUUCCUGGGCUCGGAGCAGGCGCGGGCCCGGGUUGAGCCGAGCCUGAGCAGGGGCAGGCUCUAGCUGGCGGCUGGCCAGAUGCCCUCCAGGCUAGAGUGCCAUGGGUCUAUCUCCUUGUUGCAGCCUCUGCCUCCAGGAGGAUCAAGCCAUCCUCCCACCUCAGCCUUCUGAGUAGCUGGGACUACAGGCUCGAGCCACCACUCCCGGCUAAUUUUUGUAUUUUUUUCUAGAGAUGGGGUUUCACCAUGUUGUCCAAGCUGCUCUUGGACUCCUGGGUUCAAGCCAUCCGCCAGCCUCAGCCUCCCAAAGUGCUGGGAUUACAGGUGUGAGCCACUACGCCCAGCCCUAGUCCCCUCUCUUUUCUAUGCUUUCUCUUUCUGUAAUUUCUUUAAUUCAAAUGUUGGGUGUCCUGGACCAGGCCCCUAAUUAUCUUUUUCCUUCCCCUUUUUUAUCCCUUUUUCUCUUUGUUCUACUAUCUGGAAGAUUUCUCCAAAUUUAUCUUCCAGCCCUUUCAUUGAAUUUUUAGAUCCCAAGGACUUUUUGUUGGUGGUGGUGGUUGACUGUUUCUUUUGUUUGUUUGUUUGUUUGUUUUUGAGACAGAGUCUUGCUCUGUCACCCAGGCUGGAGUGCAGUGGCGCGAUUUUGGCUCACUGCAACCUUCGCCUCCCCAGUUCAAGUGAUUCUCCUCUCAGUCUCCCGAGUAGCUGGGAUUACAGGUGUGCACCACCAUGCCCGGCUGAUUUUUG